RNAcentral lists this transfer RNA (69 nucleotides) under Bario sanctaefilomenae (redeye tetra). RNAcentral's name for it is "Moenkhausia sanctaefilomenae (redeye tetra) tRNA-Met". It matches the Rfam family "tRNA". From Rfam's summary of the family: Transfer RNA (tRNA) molecules are approximately 80 nucleotides in length. The record is from RNAcentral. Lineage: Eukaryota; Metazoa; Chordata; Actinopteri; Characiformes; Acestrorhamphidae.
UGUAAGAUAAGCUAAAUAAGCUACUGGGCUCAUACCCCAAAAAUGGAAGUUAAAACCUUUCUCUUGCUA